UACGUAGGUGGCAAGCGUUGUCCGGAUUUACUGGGCGUAAAGAGCGCGCAGGCGGUCGGAUAAGUCGAAUGUGAAGGCCCCCGGCUCAACUGGGGAGGGUCAUUCGAUACUGUUCGACUCGAAGGCAGGAGAGGGAAGUGGAAUUCCCGGUGUAGUGGUGAAAUGCGUAGAUAUCGGGAGGAACACCAGUGGCGAAGGCGACUUCCUGGCCUGUUCUUGACGCUGAGGCGCGAAAGCUAGGGGAGCAAACGGG
RNAcentral lists this ribosomal RNA (253 nucleotides) under uncultured bacterium. RNAcentral's name for it is "partial 16S ribosomal RNA". It matches the Rfam family "Bacterial small subunit ribosomal RNA", at positions 524 to 776 of the family's 1533-position model. The record is from RNAcentral.